Molecule: RNA transcript, 3815 nt
Organism: Panicum virgatum (switchgrass)
Lineage: Eukaryota; Viridiplantae; Streptophyta; Magnoliopsida; Poales; Poaceae
Exons: 7
Source: RefSeq, a predicted model, not a curated record
GGGCCCCACCUCCACGCACCCCGCGUCCCUCCCCCGCCGGCAACCCGCUCGCCCCACGCCCUCCGCUCGCCCUCGCAGGCGCCGUGUCCGACUCCGGCCUCCCCGAUGAGCGCGGGUCGCCGGUUCUCCGCUACUCCGCCAUCUCCUACAGCCGACGUCGGACGCACGCCCUGCCAUCAGGCUCAGGCGCAUUGGAGGCAGCCAUCCUACCUCGGUCGGCCUCCCAUCGAUGCUGCCAUCGCCGCUCCAGGACCCUCCGACGACCAGAUCUGGUCAGCGGAGGGGGCGCCACCCCUCUCGCAUGCCGCUUCACCUCGCCUCGUCUCCUCGCGCAAGCCGCCUCCUCGAUGGCAUUCUGGAGGCCGGAGAGCGGCCUGAGGACGACGACGUCGGCGUCGAGGUAGACGCCGCCCCAGCCUGGCGACGCCGACGCCACAGGCCCCCCGAUCCAGAUCCAGGUAUCAGGAUGGCUUAACUUUCUUGGACGGAUUUCUUGGACGCGGAUCUGCUUGCUCUGCUGCGUGCUGCUGCUUCCGAGGCUUUUCGUCAUUCAUUUGCAGCAAGGAGGGAGGGAAGGAGAAGGCCCCGGCCAAGUCCGGAGGUGGAAGAAGAAGAAGAAAGUGGAGCAAGGGCAAGCAGAAGGAGAAGGUCAACAACGCCGUGCUCUUCGACCAGGCCACCACCUAUGACAAGCUGCUCUCCGAGCUUAUCUGUAGGAAAAGCAUAUGCUAUUUCAGAACUAAAAAUGAUGCUGAUUCUGCUAUUUCAAAAAUCAAUUCAGGCUUGGUUGUUGGUGGAAGGUGACAGCGAGGGUAGUGCUGCACGGCAGCAGAGCAGCGGCGGUGAGGGGAAUGCCUCAAUGCAUGGUAAACGGGCACUUUGUGCAGAAUUUAUUCUGUAAGACUGAACUUUGUGCAGAAUUAUGGAAGGAAGAAAAGACAAAAGAAUGGCAUAUCAGAGCAACCAGUAAGCAAGCACGAUUGGUGAGCCAGAUACCAUUCUGUAUUCUCUUUUACCAUAUUGAUUUUUUUGCUUUUCAUUUGCUGUGAAAUGCUCUGAAUAAAAGCAUGAGUGUUUUUAUGUUUACUACAAUAGAUUACAAUAUUUCUUCUCUCGGGAAAUGUCAUAAUAAUGCUUUGGCAGGGUAGGGCAGGUGCAUUCUCUUAUGGGAGUGACCAUCUGUGAGCUAGAUUUUAGUUGUAUCUCUGCUUGUGAUUGAAAUAAUGACCUGAAGUGGAUUUUAGGGUAGGGCAGGUGCAUAGAGUUUCCAAACCUAUGUUUAUGGGUUCUUACUCUGAUUCGUUGAAUGGAUCUGCAAUAUUAAAUAAUGGAGGUAGUGAAGAAUAUAUUGUGAACCACAUUUCUCUUAAUAUAUUGUAUCAUGUUUUUGGCCAGGAUGUUUUUCUGUACAAUUGUCCAUUGAAGUAUUUUUUUAAUACAUGUUUCUUUUUGCAUUACUGGGCAAGUUUGCAGUCAGGGUCUUGAUCAAGAAAUGCUCCCCUCUGACAUAUAUUAUAUUUUGGUUGUUUUCAUGUGCAUGCUUCAACUGACACAGAGCUUAUAGGAGCUUUGAUGGACUUGUCUUGCUGGCCAGGCAAGAGCAACAGCAUCGCUGUUUUUUGGAGUCCAUCUUGAUAGUUGUUGCUGAAUUGUCUGUUUCCCCCCCAUGCUACCACAUUAAUGCAGACCUUUUAUUGAUUGGGCUUCCUACUGCUACGCUAUGUUUAGUUUUUUUUUUUGAGUGUGCUAAACUUUUUCUAUUUCUUAAAUUGUUAAUCCUGCUGUUUACUUUUGAUUCUGGAAAGAAGUCGAGGAGGCUAUCCAUCAGGUUUAAGAGGCUUAGUAUGGUUGAGAUCCCAAGAUAUUCUCUCCAUUUGCCUAAAAUGCUGCUUGCAAAUAUAUUCUCUCUGUUUGCUUGAAUACAACAUGCAACAAGACUUAUUUCAUCAUUAUUAAUUGCCUAUCAUUUUUCAGAUUUCAAAAAUGUAUUAGGAGAGUGCGCGGACUGCCCAUAAUGUGAUUUCAUGCAUUAUAGGACAACUUUUGAGAUGGUUUUUGGUUGCCAAUGUGUAUAUAUAUCAUGCUUGGUUGUUUAAAAUGAUACCCGUAGCAUUAGCACGGGCAAGCAAAAGCAGUCGAACUGAAUUUUUUCCUGGUUUCUGCUGGAUCGAGAUAGAAGAUGGUAGCAGUAAGCAGUGUGCUACUGGAUAAGAACAGAGCCAAGCGAAGGGCCAGAAGCAUUGUGCUACAAGAAAAGCAAAUGCAUCUGCCUCAGUACGAAUUUUGUUAUCAGGUACUCCUCUCACCACCUCCCACCGAUGCAUGCCAAGUGCUUGAUAAAAUUACUGGAUGGUAGGAUUGUACUUUGAUUGUCAGAAUCUGGAUGAAAUUACCCAUGAACGAAUUGUCUUUGAUUGGUUUUGAGAGAACAGUAAAUUUGCACCACUGCUAGAGGUGAAGUUUAAGCUUCUUAAUAAUCAGUUUAUGUAUGCAGUUAUAUUAUAUUAGAACAUAUUAUUGCAUUGAAUAGCUUUGUGUUCUUUUCAGUAAUGCAAUGAUGGUCCGCAUAAUGAAAGAAUAGAUUAGGCUAUCCAUGUUCUUUUCAGUAAUUGUCUUUGCUAAACAUUUUUUAGUGGAUUAGUUGUGUAUUUCCAUGUGGAGCUUACCGAGAAGCAAUGCGUCUGGGCAGGAAGUCCCCCGAUGAUGUGGUGCUCAACAACAUGUCUUCCAGGAGUCAUGCACAGUACAUGUCCACCGUUGUCUGUGGUGAUCUACCUAAGGCUCUAAGCACUCAAGGCAAGAGAGGUUGGGCUACCAUAUUUUCACUUCAGAAUAAAUCAGGUUAGUGGGUUGUAUUUCGAUUUUCUCAUUGUGCUCUAAUUUAAUAUGCAUAAUAGGUCUCCAAAUUUUCACUUCUGAAUUUUUUAGGCGCAUUGGCUUUUCCAGGCUUUUAUGUGUAAUUGGACUGAGAUGUAGUAAACUGUUGAUUUUGUGCCAGAAACACAUGGCAAAGACUGAAGAGGAAAUGAGUAUAGCAGUAAUAUUGCUAGAGUUAGUCAUGUACAUGUGUUGUUUCCCGUGGCCCAAACCCUAAAACUACCCACAUUUUUGGAGAUCGUGUUUUUAAGCUUCAAGCUGAGCACCUGAUGCCUGGUGAAAAUAAGGAUAAAGAGAACAUGCCUCCUCUUGUGAAAGAGGGUGCCAUGAGCUUCUGUAGUUUUUGCAGUGACAGUGAGAAGCUGAAAUAAGGGAGAGAUAUCUACAUCUAUCAGGGUGACAAAGCCUUUUGCAGCAGAGUGCAGGGAGAAUUUCAUGGAAAAUGAGAUGGAAGAAGGUGAACCCAUGAUAUAUCAUCUUGCACCUCCGAGCAGUUCACCUUUGGACAAUGGUCCUAUUUUCCAACUGAUCCGUUGAGUGAAAAUUAGCAACAACUUGAUAUGGUCGUAUCUGAAGUGUUGUCUGAGGUUAAUAAGUUGCAGCCAUGGAUGUGAUCAUGUUUGCGGAGUUGUUGCCUGAAGAUUUUGUUUGUGCGGCUUACCUCACCUAUUGAUUUCUUUGUUUUGCGUACUAGGAUCCUCAAAUUUUUUGGAGGACUUUGAAGAAUGACUAUAUCUCUGGUCAUAUUAUUAUCUUGAUCAGAGAGGGGCGUGUGUGUGUGCGUGUCUGAACUUGAGUUUGGCUGUUUGGACCUCAUUUUCAGUGGCUGUCGGAUGUUCGACACUUGUGUUACUAUCAUGUAUCUGAACCUAUGUUUUCAGUAUGUAUUUCGGAAAGGAAAUGGUAAACUAUGAUAUCAAUAAAUGUUUAUUUUGUAA